CGACCCCAGGUCAGGCGGGGUUAUCCGCUGAAUUUAAGCA
RNAcentral lists this ribosomal RNA (40 nucleotides) under Crataegus x ninae-celottiae. RNAcentral describes it as "partial 26S ribosomal RNA". Lineage: Eukaryota; Viridiplantae; Streptophyta; Magnoliopsida; Rosales; Rosaceae. The record is from RNAcentral.